AGAACUUUGUUGGGAAGGGCAGGCAUUGAGGCAAAUAUGCUCUUUUUUUCUUUUAGUCAGGCCAUGAUUGGGGCCAAUGAAGGUUAUUAGAAAGCACCCAACGAUUCUCUGCAAUAGGAUUAAGUAGUUCAAAAUAGUUAUCAUGGCUUGCUUCUGUCACUUAUUUUAUUUCCCAACAUUUUUUAAGUGUAUCAAAAUUAGGACUGUGCACUAAAAAUGUGAAAUACUAUUUUUCAGACUCAAAAACUAUAAAUUUAACAAGAUGGCUUAAUCUCCAUUUAGGUGUGAAAUCCCCAUGAACUCAGUGUUCUCAAGUUUUUUCCCUAUGCUUUGGACCAAAUCAUCUUAACCCACUUCAUACAAAACAUUAAAAUAUUUAUAUAGCAAUCAGGGAAAAAGUGGAGAGAAUUUGGAAGAAGGUUUUUUUUUUUGGUCUUUUUGCUAUUUCUUGGGCCGCUCCCACGGCAUAUGGAGGUUCCCAGGCUAGGGGUCUAAUCGGAGCUGUAGCCACUGCCCUACGCCAGAGCCACAGCAACGCGGGAUCCGAGCCGCGUCUGCAACCUACACCACAGCUCACGGCAACGCCGGAUCGUUAACCCACUGAGCAAGGGCAGGGACCGAACCCGCAACCUCAUGGUUCCUAGUCGGAUUCGUUAACCACUGCGUCACAACAGGAACUCCGAGAAGUCUUAAUUGUAUAAAUUAUACAAAUAAAAUAAUGUUAUUUUAGUGAAAAAUGAGCUUACUUUUGUAAAUAUAUUUAAGUGAAAGUUAUACAUCCUUAAUAUAGCUACAAGAUAUUCUAGAUGUAGAGUUUUUGAUUAUGAUAUUUUCAAUGUCAUCAUAGCCACUAUGCGCAAACUUUGAACAAAUUAGUAAAUGGGAGCAAACAUUAAACUCUUACUUUUUUAAAGUUGAAGUACAGUUGAUUUACCAUGUUGUGUUAGUUUCAAGUGUAUGACACAGAAAAUCGGUCUUAUCAUAUCUGUAUCUAUUUCUAUAUAUAAUAUGUAUAUAUUCUUUUUAAGAUUAUUUUUCCUUUACAGGUUAUUAAAAAAUAUUGAGUAUAGUUCCCUGUGUUAUACAGUAGGCCCUUAUUGGUUAUCUAUUUUAUAUAGUAGUGUGUAUAAAUGAAUCUCAUCCUCCUAGUUUACCCCUCCCCCACUUACCCUUUGGUAACCAUAAGUUUGUUUUCUAUGUCUGUGGGGAAAUUUGUUUCUUUUUUUUUUUCAGAUUCCACAUAUAACUAACAUUAUAUGAUAUUUGUCUUUGGCUUAAUUCACUUAGUAUGAUAAUCUCUAGGAGAUGUAUCUAUAUAUCUCUAUGUAGAGAUAUAUAAAAUGGAGUAAUACUCAGCCAUUAAAAAAUAAUGAAAUAAUGCCAAUUGCAACGACAUGGAUGGACCUAAAAACUCUUACUUUUAAUAAGAAUUCAGUUAAUUUGAUCUUAAAUGAUACGGGGUGAUUACUUUUUAAACUUAAGAACUCUUCCAUUUCCUUCUUGACAUAUGGAACAUUGAAAUUGAAAUUUCUGGUGAUCAUAUUAAAGGAUUUUGAAUUCAAUCACUUUUUAUAACAAAUAUUGCCAAAUAAAGAAAAAUCCCUACUUUCAAUAAUUUUGUAAGAUUCAGUAAGUUUACUUAGUGUUUAUAACUGAUGAGUUAUUUUACCGUCAUUUACUGAAUUUUCAGUUCAACUCCACAAACUUUAUUAGCACAUGGUAAUGUAGUUAGUUACACAUGGACAUUGCCUACUUUUAGUUAAUUUUAUUGUGAUGCUGAAAAAUAUAAAAGUGUCUUUUUUUAAACCAAAAGCUAUACUUCAAUUUUUUUCAAGUUUUUUCCUCGUAAACACUUGAAAUUCUUUGACAAUCAAUGAGAGUAUUCUGGUUCUAUUUCUUCAUUUCACAUUCAAAACAGAAAUGAUUAGAAUGGCCUAGCUUGUAUAGAUUAACUACUAUGAUGUUUUUUAAUAGUCAGACGGACAAACUUUAUAUGCAAGACUUUCUCUGAGAAUAAAACAAUUCAUUUAUUUGAAUAUGUUGAUAUAUAUUUCUAUCAAUAUCUAAUUUAUUCCAUUUCCAUAUUUCAUAUUUUAAAAAUAUUCAUUUACCACUUUGAAUAUUUCAUCACUGAUGCUUUUAUUUUGCUACUCCCUUAAAGAGUAAUCAUUUAUGCUAAUCUUAAAUUCUAACUAAGCUAUAAGCUAAGCACAGUUAUUAAUGUCUAUAGAUGCAUCAAUAUGUAGUGAAAACAUUUUUCCCAAUUCAAUAAUUAAGUUAUCAUUUUAUACAUUGUCAUUUUAUCUACUAAGGGUGUUAUUCAGAAGUGGCAUCUUUUCUGCUUACCUUGUCUUUAGUUUAAAAACAUAUAGUCUAGGAAAACGAGCAACUCUGUGGAGUUCCCACUGUGGUUCAGAGUUCAUGAACCCAACUACUAUCCAUGAGGACACAGGUUCAAUCACUGACCCUGCUCAGUGGGUUAAGGAUCCAACAUUGCCCUGAACGUGGUUGAGGUCUCAGAUGCAGCUUGGAGCUGGCAUUGCUAUGGCUGUGGUGUAGGUCAGCAGCUGCAGCUCCAAUUUGACUCCUAGCCUAGGAAC
This 2600-nucleotide long non-coding RNA is filed under the name Sus scrofa (pig). RNAcentral's name for it is "lncRNA (ENSSSCG00035037756.1)". Lineage: Eukaryota; Metazoa; Chordata; Mammalia; Artiodactyla; Suidae. The record is from RNAcentral.